UGAAGAAUUUGAGAUCACCAAAGAUUUUUCAUUGGUAAGUGAACUACUUUGUGAGAAUCCAGUUGAACAUUUCAGAAAAUUCACCUCUGUUUCCCCCAGCACUUUGACAAAAGUUCCAUUCAUUGUUACUUUCCACUCAAGAGUCCCAGCAACCACCCCAAAGGAUGCGCUAGGUGUUUGUGCUGCCUCCCAGAGUUCUUCACUAUCUUGUUGGAGUAUGUAACAAUUGCCCAGCAUGUAAUGAACACCUAACACCUACUCUAUGCCAGAAAUCAUACUAGACCCUUUAUAUUACCUCUAAUCCUCCAAACAAAUAUGGAAGUAGGUGUUAGUAUUCUCAUUUGGCAACAGGGACAUGGGA
RNAcentral lists this long non-coding RNA (361 nucleotides) under Homo sapiens (human). RNAcentral describes it as "HSALNT0052123". Lineage: Eukaryota; Metazoa; Chordata; Mammalia; Primates; Hominidae. The record is from RNAcentral.